GAUGAACGCUGGCGGCGUGCCUAAUACAUACAAGUCGAGCGAACGGACGAGAAGCUUGCUUCUCUGAUGUUAGCGGCGGACGGGUGAGUAACACGUGGAUAACCUACCUAUAAGACUGGGAUAACUUCGGGAAACCGGAGCUAAUACCGGAUGAUAUUUUGAACCGCAUGGUUCAAAAGUGAAAGACGGUCUUGCUGUCACUUAUAGCUGGAUCCGCGCUGCAUUAGCUAGUUGGUAAGGUAACGGCUUACCAAGGCAACUAUGCAUAGCCGACCUGAGAGAGGGAUCGGCCACACUGGAGCUGAGACACGGUCCAGACUCCUACGGUAGGCAGCAGUAGGGAAUCUGCCGCAAUGGGCGGAAGCCUGACGGAGCAACGCGGCGUGAGUGAUGAAGGUCUUCGGAUCGUAAAACUCUGUUAUUAGGGAAGAACAUAUGUGUAAGUAACUGUGCACAUCUUGACGGUACCUAAUCAGAAAGCCACGGCUAACUACGUG
RNAcentral lists this ribosomal RNA (497 nucleotides) under uncultured bacterium. RNAcentral describes it as "partial 16S ribosomal RNA". It matches the Rfam family "Bacterial small subunit ribosomal RNA", at positions 28 to 507 of the family's 1533-position model. The record is from RNAcentral.